UAGGGAAUCUUCGGCAAUGGACGAAAGUCUGACCGAGCAACGCCGCGUGAGUGAAGAAGGUUUUCGGAUCGUAAAACUCUGUUGUUCGAGAAGAACAAGGACGUUAGUAACUGAACGUCCCCUGACGGUAUCUAACCAGAAAGCCACGGCUAACUACGUGCCAGCAGCCGCGGUAAUACGUAGGUGGCAAGCGUUGUCCGGAUUUAUUGGGCGUAAAGCGAGCGCAGGCGGUUUCUUAAGUCUGAUGUGAAAGCCCCCGGCUCAACCGGGGAGGGUCAUUGGAAACUGGGAGACUUGAGUGCAGAAGAGGAGAGUGGAAUUCCAUGUGUAGCGGUGAAAUGCGUAGAUAUAUGGAGGAACACCAGUGGCGAAGGCGGCUCUCUGGUCUGUAACUGACGCUAAGGCUCGAAAGCGUGGGGAGCAAACAGG
Molecule: ribosomal RNA, 429 nt
Filed under: Gemmatimonadota bacterium
Lineage: Bacteria; Pseudomonadati; Gemmatimonadota
Description: Gemmatimonadetes bacterium partial 16S ribosomal RNA
Rfam family: Bacterial small subunit ribosomal RNA
Source: RNAcentral